UAAGUGUUAAGCGUAUUGAAUAUCUAGCCGUUUCCAAAAGAAACGGUCGCUAGUAUCUCCUUUUCUUUUAUUACUAGUGUUCGUAGAAUCACUUAGAUCUCACGUUCACGGAAUCAAUUCGAGUACAAAGAGUGUAAAGGAACAUUGUGCAAAUGUCUCUUCAGAGAAAAAAAAAAAGAAAAAAAAUAUCGUGUUCGUAGAAUACUACCUCCCGCGCGUGUGUUCUCGCGUACACGCGAGGAUUUUAAUCUUUUUUCCUCUUUAGAGCAAGCGAGAAAAUUCUAAGUCUAACAAAGUGUGUUUACGUUCCGAAACGGAAAGGUUUUCCCUCUCAAAAAUUGCCGUCACCGCUGCUCUUUCGUAUGCACGCGGCGCAUGGAACUGACUUUUAACACAGCGGCGCUCACCCCGCGAGCCCACUCGUUCAUUUCUGACCAAAACUGAAUUUCCAUCGAGCCAGAGAGAAACCUCGAGAUAUUGCCUUUGAUUAGAUUUGCAUAAGAGCGAUACUUUGGCCGGCAAAACGUUGUACAGCCCCGGCUUUUACCACAGGCGCGGGGAUGAUUUCCAGACCGCGAGGAAAUUCUCCUCGAAAUUGCUCGUAAAACGCCCCUGUUAACGAAACAUCGACGCGUCUAGGGUAUUUCAUCCAGUUCCAUGCCCGGUGUGCACUGUUAUAAUACUUACGCGCAACUUUGUAUCUCGUAAUGGCAGCCUUGUUCCGCAGGUGGAGAGAGGAAGAUCAGUAUUAAAUUAUGAAAGACGUCGAAGACUGAGUAUACGAAAA
Bombus impatiens (common eastern bumble bee) is the source of this 787-nucleotide long non-coding RNA. RefSeq lists it as uncharacterized. The record is from RefSeq and is a predicted model, not a curated record. The transcript has 2 exons. Lineage: Eukaryota; Metazoa; Arthropoda; Insecta; Hymenoptera; Apidae.